This 7718-nucleotide long non-coding RNA is filed under the name Arabidopsis lyrata. Its description in RNAcentral is "long non-coding RNA (ALYR_LNC002154)". Lineage: Eukaryota; Viridiplantae; Streptophyta; Magnoliopsida; Brassicales; Brassicaceae. The record is from RNAcentral.
GAAGAUUUAGUUGAAACAUGUUUAGGAGAAGGUUGUGGUGACGAUGAUGGUGUUAUAGUUGCAGCCACAACACGGUUUUUGCGGUCUUUUCUCGAAGGUAAAUCUUUGUAAGGGUAACGGACAAGUGUUUUCCUGUGAAAUCCAAAAGCUUUCCUAUCAAAAGGUAGAAAACGAAAUUGAAGCCAUUGCCAAAACAUGCUCUAAAAUAAAGAUCAAAAUAUAGUAAGUUACAGUAUAUAGUUUAUAAGCAUGAUUAAGUGUCGGUUACAAAUUGUGAAAUAAAUUUGUAGAUCUCUACCAACCCCGUUGGCCGUUGGGACUUUGAUGCUAUAGAUGAGUUCUAUAAAGGUGAUAUGCCAGAUUGGCCAUCGAAUGAUGAUAAGUUACAGUUCUAUGAGGUGAGGUGUUACUUUGACUCAUCUUCUUUGAUGAUAAGUUUCAAUUUCUUUUGAUUCAUCUUCUAUGAGCUCGAGGUGAUCUGUUUUGACUUGUCUUUCUUCAACUAACUUUAGAUGUUUAAAAAUGUAUAGGUGAAUGAAUCAGAGUUGCGAGACAAUGAAUGGCUUCAUCUAUAUGCUGAAGUUGCAUUGUUCUCCGAGUGGGAAUCUGACAUGGUGAGGAUAUUAAAAGCAUAUAGAUAUGUGAGCUUAGGACAUUCUUUUCUCAAGUCGAGCAAUGCAAUCUUCUACAUGAGUUUCAAGGUUCGUGAAGGUCCCGAUUGCAGAGGUAUAAUAAGAAAAACAAGUGAUGGAAGAACAGGACAUAUGCGCCUUGAAGCUAGAUGUUGGAUCGACAAGUAAAUACGAUGGUGGCUAGUAUUUCGAUAUUUUGUGGAUUAUCUUGCAAUGUUUAAGUAAUUUACGGCAUGAUUCAUUUAUUUAUGCAUGGUAAUAAUAUAGUUACUUAACUUGAAGAGGACAAGAAACUUGGAUUUUACUAGAUAACUACAAAAGACACGUAUAAAACUCAGCUUUUGUUGGUGAAUGGCUCUCUUCUUACGCCGUAGACAAGACCUCCAAUUCUGGCCACCAAAGAGGUGAGAACUUAGACGUUGCAUCGUUAGCCGUGAUUUCCCAUAACCAACCGUGACUUCUUGCAUUCUCGAUCUUCUUAUUAUAAGAUUCUAGUGUUGGCCAGAGUGUCUCUCCUAUUAAAAAAUCAACCAGGCCCCUAUCUACCGAGUCGAGUUUGUUAACCGAUUCCGGGAGUUUCCCGGUUAUCAUUUCAAAUAAUAAUAAACCAUUUUUGUCAAUUAGGCCUGUGAGCUUUUCUUUUAAAAAAAAAAAAUAGUGAUUUUGAAUUUGGAUUUAAAUAUUGACUCAUAAAUCUUAAUUGAACCGGGUUGUGACAUGCUUAACCCGGACUCGGUUAUAUGGGCGAUUCCCGUUUGAACCGGUCGGUGUUAAAUCACUAUUCAUUUGUCUUAACCAUCAUUGAUUGAUUUGGGGUUAAAAAGGAAAUUGGGGUCUAUUUACAUUAAACCUAAAAAAAAAUCAAUUGGGAAUAGACAAACCCUUGUCGGCUUGUCGUGUCCGUCCAGCAAAACUUAUCAGACUCUCCCAAUCAGUUUGGAAGUAGAAGACGACUGUUCACCGGAAAGAUGUAUGAUGUGAUGUUGGAUGAAGCGAACUUGUGGUUUCACGAAUACGAACCUCCUCUCCGUAGGCGGAAGAUCGAAGAAGCUCCACCUUCACCUGUGGAAGACCUUUAUUUCUCCGACGAAGAAGACAUGAGUCCCGAGGAACGCGAAAAGUAUCGUCUUCAAGUUGUUGAGUCCUGUGUAAUUCUCUUUUAACUCUUUUCAAGUUUUGACGCUUACAAGAUUUGUGCUUUCGUAUCAUACAAUUGAUUUUUGGAUUUUGGUAAUUAGGGAUUCGAUGUUGAUUUCUUCAAGCAUACGUUUAAUGGGAUAAUGCCAAGUGGAUGUUGUCCCUAUGACACACUCUUCGCAAAGGCAGGACUCCAUUGUUACAAUCUUGAAAAGGUUUACUCUUUUCUUUUCUCUUUGAUAUUACUCUCUCCUCCUUGUGAGCUACUAUUGUAGAAUGUUGAUAUUCGUCACUGGUCAUUGUUUCUACCUUGUAGGGGAAGAACUUACAGUUCAAGACUGUAGUAAAAGUUAACGCCGAAAUCGGUUCCCUUUACAAUUCCUAUUCAACAUCUGAGGUGAUGGAUCCGGUUAACAACUCUCUUCACACUUUCCAAACUUUAGUCACGGAUGCAGGGAAGAUGAACAAAGCGCGCUUGAUACUUGUCACAAAAAUAUGCAGACUUAAGCCUCAAGUACCAGGUGUGGAAAGACUUUCAUGACUUGGUUUGUAAUUUGUCAUUAACGUUGCCAUGAAGAUUAUCAUACGCUUGUAAAACAUGGUUAAUCAUUUGGACAUGUUUUAGGCAUUGGAGAUGCAAAUGGCCGUUGGGACUUUGAUGCUAUAGAUGAUUUCUAUAAAGGUGAUAUGCCAGAUUGGCCACCGAAUGGUGCAUGUACUAAAGGUGAUAAGCUACUACAGUUCUAUGAGGUGAGGUGUUAGUUUUUUACUCAUUUAAUACAUAAUGUAAUCCAUCUUUAGUGUUUUUGCUUGUAUACAAGAUUAUCUUUUUUUCCAACUAAUUUUAGAUGUUUAAAACUGCAGGUGAAGGAAUCAGAGUUGCGAGACAAUGAAUGGAUUUCUCUAUAUGCUGAAGCUGCAUUGUUCUCCGAGUGGCACUCUGACAUGGUGAGGAUAUAAUAGCAUAUAGAUAUGUGAACAUAGGACAUCCAUUUCUCAAAAAACCUUUUUUUAAUUUGCAGAGUGCUUAUACACCAUUUGAGAUGAAGAAAGUAGUGGUACAAACAAAAGAAGAUGUAGACUCGAGUAUGAAGCUCAAGUCGAGCAAUGCAAUCUUCUACAUGACUUUCAAGGUUCGUGAAGGUCCCGAUUGCAGAGGGAUAGUAAGAAAAACAAGUGAUGGAAGAACAGGACAUAUGCGCCUUGAAGCUAGAUGUUGGAUCGACAAGUAAAGCUGAUAAUGACCAGUAAUCUGAUUUUGUGUGGUCUUUUUUUUAUGUAUUGAUCUUGCUAUGUUUAAAUGGUAUCUAUCUAUGGCAGAAGUAGCAAAGUUCGCACUACUUGUUUCCCUCUGGAUUUUUUUUUAUAAUUAAAAUGCUCUAUUUAAGAUGUGCGCUUUUAUCAACUAUCUUAUAUCUUGUUUCAAGGAAAUUACUUUGAUGUGCAAACACUUGAUGCGAUGAGAUAAACUAAAAGUGUUUUGCAAACGAUGCAGACAGUUGUUAGUAGCAAAAGACAAAAUCAAACUCUUGUUUUCACUUCACAAACACAGACUCAGUUGAGUUUACUAGCUCCAUGCCUUUUCUUCCGCCUCUCUUCCUCUUCCCGUGAGAGUAAUCUCGGAUAGCUGAAUCUUCUGAGCAAUGGACUUGGUUCAGCAAAGUAGGUAUUCGCCUUAGUGUUAAUCUCUUCACCCGGAGUGGGUACAUAAACAAGCAUAAUAUCUAUUGAGAUCUUCAUGUAACCGUUUUUUCCAAACUUAUCGCCAUGACUUGAUCUCGCCACUACGUAUUUUUCCCCAUUCUCCUCAUCUGCUGCUACUAGUGAAACGGCAUGCAGUCCAACGAGCCUUGACCUUUGAAGUACAGGCCCUCGAUAGAUCUUCAAACAAAAAACCAAACCAAUAUUAGCUUGCAUGAUAAAUUUAACACUGCAAAACAACGCAUAACUUACAUUUUCUCCAAUUUCAUUGUACUCUGGGAAAAACAUUGCCACAGCAGCUCCGAUGGGUUGGUGCUUAAGUUGGAGAAGCGCUUCCUCGAUUGUAUCUAUUCUCUUGAAGUCUUUGAUGUACCCUAAUCCCGAUAAGACACGAUCAGGAAUAUAUUGAGGACAUCCCGUGAAUGGUCUAUCUUCUUCUCUUUGAAUCCCAUUUUCCAUUACGUAACGCAUUCCUCUGUUGAUGCUUGAGGUGUAGCAGUAGUGACCGUCAUUGCGAACUUGUCUUCGCUGCACCGGAUCUGUAAAAUCAAUCAAAUCUUGCACAGAGUACUCUAUGUUAGGAUCUGUGUCACGACCGUUAAUCAAUCUCACUGCCCUUAUAAGAUCUCUUGCAACGACAGCCCAGCAAAUAUCUGAAAACAUACGAAAACAAACUUCGUUAACUAAAUUUUUUGUUAAGAAAAAUGUUAUAUGUUUUGUUCUUACCGUGAUCUAGUUGGUUUGCCACUAUCCCCAUAAUGAUUGCCCAAUCCACAUCAUCUAAGCAAACGGGAAAGAUCUGUACCUCAAAACAAAUAAGAAUUAUAAACAUAAAUUCAUCUAAAUUUCAUUACUAUUAACAAACGUACGAUAAAAUCUUAUACCCUGCGUUUGAUAUACGAUGCAAAUCUCACAUGCUUGAUAUCUCCACUUGAAUCGUCAAUGUAUUCGGUGACUUUAACUUUGGAAUCAGGUUUAGUUCUCAUUAUGCUUAAUAAAAUAUCAUGCGGAACGAUACGAAAGACCUCAGCCACUAAUGGUUGAAGUUGUGGGUCAGUCAAUGCUAAAAUCUGCUCAAAUAUGGGUAACAUUUCGUCAGGAACAGCAGCAAGCACCUGAAAAACAUCACAUUCGAAAUCCAAGAUUAAGAAUAAAACCGUGAAAGAUUAAGUGAGAUUUUAUACAGACAAUCAAGACCAGAAACAAAGACCAAACAUAUCUAACUAACUAUGUCUCUUCCAUUACCAAAGUAAACUUAACUACACCACAAAAAUCAACUUUUAUUAUCAUAUACUUACUACAUCACAUUCGAAAUCCAAGAUUUAGAAUGAACCCGUGAAAGAUUAAGUGAGAUUUUAUACAGACAAUUAAGAGCAGAAGCAAAGACCAAACAUAUCUAACUAUGUCUCUUUCAUCACCAAAGUAAACUUAAUUACACAACAAAAAUCAACUUUUUAUUAUCAUAUACUUACUUCUGCAGGUGUAGUGUCUGAGCUCUCACCUCUUUGUGCCAUAUUUGAAGUUAGGAUCUGCAUUUUAAAUUUUAGCAAAAACUUAGCAGACAAGUUUCAAAAAGACAAACAGAGUAAACCAACAGUUUCCAUUUAAGAAGUAAUACAAAAAAAAAACUAAGGACUACUUGUAGACAUAUAUAGAACAACAUAACAGAAAUGAACAAGGUAAGUUUCUUACUAGCCAGAAAGGCAGAAACCACUAGAAUCUUGUAACUUAAUUUCUCUGUUCUCCAAAACUCUCUUCCUUUUAAACGUCAAAAGUGAGAUAAAAUGUUUCUGUGUUCUAACUCUAGAGGGAAACUUGUCACUAUAAAGAUUGCAGAGUUACAUAAUGUCUUUACGCUAUAAAUUUUUCCUUCUAGUUAUCUGCACCCAUUGAACACAACAUUGACCAUUAACACUAAUAUGGGGAGAUAUACAAUAUCUACUCAUCUUACUUCUGAAUCCACUCCUUACUAAAUAUAGAAAUUUCAGAAGCAACUUUAACUUUUUGACCCAUCACAGUUAAUUAUUUCGUUCGUAAAUGUUUUUACUCUCCUUAUUUUUAUUGGAUGUCAAUUUUUUUUUUCCUUUAGCCUUUCGCUCCACAAUCAACUGAUUCAAAAGGAAAAGAAAAAAAAAAAAAGUAUUUGCCAAGUUAUUCACGAAUAAAAUAUCUCUUCAAGCAUGAAUAAAAUAUUUUUGCACACUUAUAUUCUUAAAGUAUUUGGCAAUUUCUCCUCUAUCAUUUUGCUACAUAAUAACACUGAACAAAAGAAUGCAUUCAUAUAGAAGAAGAAGGAUAUAAUUUUUACAAGAUUGUUUCCGACAUGCACACUAAUUCAUCUAUACAUGUUUAUAGAGUUACUUAACUUGAGAGAACUUCAAUUUUGUUUUACCAAUAUUACUAGAGAUAACUAGAAAAGACACUUACAAAACUAACAUCUUCAAAAUAUAUACAGUUUUAUUGGUGAAGGGCCUCUCUUAAGCCGUGGACAAAACCUCCAACUCUGCCCACCAAAGAGGUGACAAUUUCGGCGUAGCAUCAUUCGGUGAUAUUCCCGUGAUCUCCCGUAACCAUCCUGUGACUUCCCGCAUUGUAGGUCUCUCUUUCGGGUCGGUCCUGAGGCAUGAUUUGAUCACUUCACCUAUAUUCUCAAUCUUGUCAUCAUAAGAUUCCAGUGUUGGAUCUACCAUCUUGGCUAGAGUCUCUCCUCUUAAGAAAUCAACCAGCGCGCUAUCUACCGAGUCAGGUUUGUUAACCGAUUCUGGGAGUUUCCCGCUUAUCAUUUCGAAUAAUAGUAAACCGAAGCUGUAAACGUUUUCUUCUGGAUUCAAGACUGAGAUGUUUGUGUCUAUGACUGUGUCGUUGAUGCUAGUCUCUGUCUCAGAUGGACCGAAACUGAAAUCCGAUACUUUGACAGCAUAAUCCUCUGUGAGCUGAAGAGAUGACGAGACGAGAUUGGUGUGAGCUAUAGGUGGAUUGAGUUGGUGCAUAUGGUCAAGGCAAUAUGCUAAUCCCAUUGCAAUUCUUAACCGCAUUCCCCAAUCCAAGUGUUCUGAUUCUUUAACUGUAAUAAAAAAAAUAUGUUUUGAUUCCCUUUAGAUCACAAAGAAAACAAGCCAACAUGUGACAUUGUGUAGCUAGCUUAUGACAAAAGUACUCACAGUGUAAAUGCUCAAAGAGUGAUCCAUUUGGAGCAUACUCAAAGAUCAAGAUCCUAGUGAAAGGUUCCUUUUCUUCACAAUACCCAAGAAGGUUUGCAAAAUUCUUGUGGUUGAUCUUCGAUAACAUUUCGAUCUGAAAUUGUGAAACAGAACACGCUAAAGUCGACUAUAUAUUGUUAUUAUAAGAAAUCAAAAAUGGGAAGAACCAUACCUUCUUCCUAAAGUGAAUUUCUGUAUUGUCCUUCCAGUCUUUGGCAGAGGUAGUAGCAAAAGAAGCAACAGCAAUCUCCACUCCACUUGAUAAUGUUCCUUUGAACAAUUUCCCAAUGGGGCAAGAUCCAAUGACAUUACUAAAAUCUUCACAUGCAGCUUCAAUCUCAGAUCUUUUAAGUACAGGUAUACCUGAGUAUCAAAAAAUCAAACAUUGAUGAAACCAAAACAUAUUAUGCCAUGUAACAAUUUAAGAAAGAAAAUUACCAGUUACGAAUACUUUCUGAAGUUGUCCGCUAAGACCAGUACGCCAAGGAUUCACAGUUUUCCCGGCCUUACUAGUGAAACAGUAGACACCGGUAACUACAAGAAGAAGAAAAAAGGCACCGCCUACGCAGCCAAUCACUAAAGGAACGGCCACUGAAGAAGAAUGAGCGUUUCUUGGAGUGGGAGGAUUUACAAGUGACACAGAAGGAGAAGGUGAAACAUUUUGUGUAGAUGAUCUCAUUUGUGGCUCCGGAACUGUUGAAGAUCUAGUUGAAACAUGUUUAGGAGAAGGUUUUGGGGAUGAUGAUGGUGUUACAGUUGCAGCCACAACGCGGUUUCUGCGGUCUUUUCUCGAAGGCAAAUCUUUGUUAGGGUAACGGACAAGUGUUUUCCUGUGAAAUCCAAAAGCUUUCCUAACAAAAGGUAGAAAAAUAAAUUAUAGCCAUUGCAAAAGCAUGCUCUAAAAUAAAGAUCAAAAUACGGUAAGUUAUAUAUAGUUUACAAGCAUGAAUAAGUGUCGGUUACAAGUAACAACAGUUUCUUCUACCAUACAUAGAUAGAGAAAAUGAAGCUACGGAAUGGUUAGAGAAAUUUGUAGAUCUACCAACCC